RNAcentral lists this ribosomal RNA (465 nucleotides) under uncultured bacterium. RNAcentral describes it as "partial 16S ribosomal RNA". It matches the Rfam family "Bacterial small subunit ribosomal RNA", at positions 338 to 795 of the family's 1533-position model. The record is from RNAcentral.
CCUACGGGAGGCAGCAGUAGGGAAUCUUCCACAAUGGGCGAAAGCCUGAUGCAGCAACGCCGCGUGGGUGAAGAAGGUCUUCUGAUCGUAAAACCCUGUUGUUAGAGAAGAAAGUUCGUGUGAGUAACUGUCCACGCUUCUACGUUAUCUAUCCAGAUAGCCUCGGACAAAUACGUGCCAGCAGCCGCGGCAAUACGUACGUGGCAAGCGUUAUCCGGAUUUAUUGGGCGUAAGGGUAACGGAGGCGGUCUGUUAAGUCUGAUGGGAAAGCGUUCGGCGUAACCGGAGAAGUGCAUUUGAAACUGGGAGACUGGAGUGCAGACGAGGAAGGUGGAACUCGAUGUGUAGCGGUGAAAUGCGUAGAUAUAAGGAAGAACACCGAUGGCGAAGGCAGCUCACUAGACUGUAACUGACGCUGAGGUUCGAAAGCGUGGGUAGCAAACAGGAUUAGAUACCCCGGUAGUC